GGUCUGCGGCAGCUAACACAUGCAGUCGAACGGUAACAGGAAGCAGCUUGCUGCUUCGCUGACGAGUGGCGGACGGGUGAGUAAUGUCUGGGAAACUGCCUGAUGGAGGGGGAUAACUACUGGAAACGGUAGCUAAUACCGCAUAACGUCGCAAGACCAAAGAGGGGGACCUUCGGGCCUCUUGCACAUCGGAUGUUGCCCAGAUGGGAUUAGCUAGUAGGUGGGGUAACGGCUCACCUAGGCGACGAUCCCUAGCUGGUCUGAAAGGAUGACCAGCCACACUGGAACUGAGACACGGUCCAGACUCCUACGGGAGGCAGCAGUGGGGAAUAUUGCACAAUGGGCGCAAGCCUGAUGCAGCCAUGCCGCGUGUAUGAAGAAGGCCUUCGGGUUGUAAAGUACUUUCAGCGGGGAGGAAGGCGACAGGGUUAAUAACCCUGUCGAUUGACGUUACCCGCAGAAGAAGCACCGGCUAACUCCGUGCCAGCAGCCGCGGUAAUACGGAGGGUGCAAGCGUUAAUCGGAAUUACUGGGCGUAAAGCGCACGCAGGCGGUCUGUCAAGUCGGAUGUGAAAUCCCCGGGCUCAACCUGGGAACUGCAUUCGAAACUGGCAGGCUAGAGUCUUGUAGAGGGGGGUAGAAUUCCAGGUGUAGCGGUGAAAUGCGUAGAGAUCUGGAGGAAUACCGGUGGCGAAGGCGGCCCCCUGGACAAAGACUGACGCUCAGGUGCGAAAGCGUGGGGAGCAAACAGGGAUUAGAUACCCUGGUAGUCCACGCCGUAAACGAUGUCGACUUGGAGGUUGUGCCCUUGAGGCGUGGCUUCCGGAGCUAACGCGUUAAGUCGACCGCCUGGGGAGUACGGCCGCAAGGUUAAAACUCAAAUGAAUUGACGGGAGGCCCGCCACAACCGAGUGGAGCAUGUGGUUUAAUUCGAUUGCAACGCGAAGAAGCCUGUACCCUACCUCUUGAUCAUCCAGAGCAACGUAGCCAGAAGAAUGCAUUGCGCUGCCUUUCCGGCCAACUCUGAAAACCAGAUAGAUGCAGUGGCUGAUCAGUUCAGCUCGUGCUUGUUUGAAAUGGUGGAGAUUAAGGUUACCCGCAACGCACCGACAAGCGCAGUAAUCCAUUAUGCAGCCAGCGGUGUAGCAGACUGGCAACGUUCAAAGCCAGAACUUGACCAGUGAAUAAACCUGGAGCUCAACGUCAGAGGGAUGACAGAUGCGAGAGUCAUGCAUGGCCCUUACGAGUAGGGCUACACACGUGCUACAAUGGCGCAUACAAAGAGAAGCGACCUCGCGAGAGCAAGCGGACCUCAUAAAGUGCGUCGUAGUCCGGAUUGGAGUCUGCAACUCGACUCCAUGAAGUCGGAAUCGCUAGUAAUCGUGGAUCAGAAUGCCACGGUGAAUACGUUCCCGGGCCUUGUACACACCGCCCGUCACACCAUGGGAGUGGGUUGCAAAAGAAGUAGGUAGCUUAACCUUCGGGAGGGCGCUUACCACUUGGAUCAGCCU
Molecule: ribosomal RNA, 1511 nt
Filed under: Enterobacter hormaechei
Lineage: Bacteria; Pseudomonadati; Pseudomonadota; Gammaproteobacteria; Enterobacterales; Enterobacteriaceae
Description: bacterial SSU rRNA
Rfam family: Bacterial small subunit ribosomal RNA
Source: RNAcentral